This 277-nucleotide long non-coding RNA is filed under the name Homo sapiens (human). Its description in RNAcentral is "non-protein coding NDST1-AS1:11". Lineage: Eukaryota; Metazoa; Chordata; Mammalia; Primates; Hominidae. The record is from RNAcentral.
CUCUCUCCUGGCACAAAACAAGCAGAUGAAGAGCAGCCCUGAGAGGUAGACACAGCGGAGAUUUUUUUCACCCGCAUUGUACAGAAGAGAAAAUGAAGCUUUGCCCAACCUGCAGGAGAUCCCCUCACCUUGCAAAAGAGCCAAGCUGUGGGAUCUUCAGUCCCUGGACCAUUUAGCUUGACUAAGAGAACAGGAAUGGAGGCCAAAAGAUCUACAAAAUGCUCACACAGAGAAGAUGACAGCUUCUACAAAUAAAUGUCAAUCAGUUCAUUUCCCC